This 377-nucleotide ribosomal RNA is filed under the name uncultured eukaryote. RNAcentral's name for it is "partial 18S ribosomal RNA". It matches the Rfam family "Eukaryotic small subunit ribosomal RNA", at positions 592 to 975 of the family's 1831-position model. The record is from RNAcentral.
CAAUAGCGUAUAUUUAAGUUGUUGCAGUUAAAAAGCUCGUGGUUGGAUUUCGGGUGGGACGCAGCGGUCUCGCAUUGCGUUUGUACUGCUGCAGCCCUCCUUCUUGCCGGGGGCGGCCUCUCGGACUUCACUGUCUGGGGGUCAGAAUCGGCGAUGUUACUUUGAGUAAAUUAGAGUGUUCAAAGCAAGCUUACGCUCUGAAUAUAAUAGCAUGGGAUAACACGACAGGACUCUGGCCUAUCGUGUUGGUCUAUAGGACCAGAGUAAUGAUUAAGAGGGACAGUCGGGGGCAUUCGUAUUCCGUUGUCAGAGGUGAAAUUCUUGGAUUUACGGAAGACGAACAUCUGCGAAAGCAUUUGCCAAGGAUGUUUUCAUUG